This 352-nucleotide transfer-messenger RNA is filed under the name Fidelibacterota bacterium. It matches the Rfam family "transfer-messenger RNA". From Rfam's summary of the family: Bacterial tmRNA, also known as 10Sa RNA or SsrA, is named for its dual tRNA and mRNA-like properties. Its role is to liberate the mRNA from a stalled ribosome. Lineage: Bacteria; Pseudomonadati; Fidelibacterota. The record is from RNAcentral.
GGGGGCGAUCGGUAUCGACGAGAUAUGAGACAUGUCGGACUGCACGCGGAGGAUGAAAGUUCCCUCCUUAAUCAUCUUUCAUACCUAUAGUUGCCGAUUACGGCUACAUGGCAGCAGCUUAGACUAUUGCCCGUUCCGGAUUGAAUACGCCUUUGGUUUAAUCUAGGAGCGUCACUUACAUAGGCUAGUCCCAAAUGUGUCUGCGAAUUUGGGACGAAAUUUAGCAGACUGGUCCUUCCAGAUUUUUGUUGCUGAUAAAUGGCAGGAUAAGAUUCCAAUCGGACGACUAAGCUUGUAGACGUCUUGCAUCACUCUAUUUCGGACGGGAGUUCGAUUCUCCCCGCCUCCACAC